Long non-coding RNA from Astatotilapia calliptera (eastern happy), 3474 nucleotides. The record is from Ensembl. NCBI's taxonomy places the organism in Eukaryota, Metazoa, Chordata, Actinopteri, Cichliformes, Cichlidae.
GGGGGGGACAGCCAUGAGAACGGAGGGAGAGGGUGGAGGAACGCAAGAGGCCCUGCCUGGCAGAAAUAAAGACUUCCUAAGGGCUGCUCUCUGACAACAGAGCCCCAAAGGGAGAGUGAAAAAUGAAGCCUCCACACAUUCGAAGGGGUUUUCACUCACGGAAAGGGGCCGCGAUUGGGGUGAACAUUAGAGAGAGAGGGCAAGAUGGAAAGCAUAAGAGAAUAGGAUUAUAAUAUUUGCUCAGAGCGAAGAGGAACAAUUGUGCGCCUCUUUCACAGUGUCCUUAGAACGGAGCCUGUGUCGAAUCUGAGGUUUUUGAUGCUUCAUGAAAUAUGGAUGCUGUUUAUUUCACCUGCCAACCCUGCCUUCUGCGGUCAGACACCUUCUACUGGCAAAGACUAUUACUGGCCAAAAAGAAGGAAAACUACAGAAAUAAAUCUAGCAGUCGUUUUUGUAGAACAUACAAAUACACAAACCGAUGACAUGGAUGUAAACACAAGAGAGUCCACUCUUUCUUCUCACAAGGAAGCCAACAAACACAUUAUUACCAUACACAAACAAAAUCACACACACCGAGGUGUGGAAAGACCACGCAUACCUCGGCUGGUCAAUGUUUACCUGAAGACCAGAGGGAGCUGUGAAUGCUCACAAGUCGGCUACUUUGCAUGUAUGUGGGAGCCCGCAAAACACUUCUCACUGCUGUCCGUCAUUUUGAUUGCCCAGCAUGACUCCUCUACCCCAAACCUCCCAGCACCCCCACAUUGCAACAUCCCCCCAGCCAGAUGGCUUUUUUUUUUUUUUUUUUUUUUUUUUUUUUUUAACUGUCUGUGGGCUCUUGCACCUCUGCUCUACCACACUAAAUCCCUGAGAUGGCUGGGUGGAGUGGAAGGUUUGGAGCUCUGCGUGGACAAAUGGUUUGGAGGUAGCAGAGCAAAUAAAACGGAUUAAGAGGAGUCUUUUCACAGAUACUUCAAAACUAUUUUGGCGCUGAGCCAUGGAUCCCCCCCACACACACCCACCUUCUCCAACACCCCAACAAUUCUCCCCCUCGACAAAAAUCAGACACCCACAAAGACAUUUCUACAGCAUCCAGGUCUUGUGCAUGGGCUUACAUCACGCAUCAUCAAUAUACUGUUUAAUCUGACAUAAUCUGAUUAAAUGUGAUAUGUAUGAAGCUACAACAAACAUCCAUAUUUGCUCAUUCUGUGCAUUGUAGAUACAGUUCUUCUUAAGAAAGGAUUUUUAAAAGGGUGUUGUUGUUUUUUUUAAUCUAACACACAAUCCAUGCAAAUCAUGUCCCACAGUGCCUACUACAACAUAUGGAACAGCAUGUGAAUUUCAUUUAAUAGCAUGCCAUAAUAGUAUAACAGACAUCUCUCAGGCUCUAAAACUAAACACACUAGUCCUUUUCAUUUCGACAUCAUGGGAAUAACCAUGACAUAUUUCACAAGAACAAAGUGUGAGGAGAUAUAAUAAAGCCAAAACACAUUAUUAUAGUGCAAAAUGACUCAUAACCCUCCAUAUACAGGGACUGUCAUUUUCAUAAGCGCUGUUAAAGAUGACUGACUGACGUUGAUUGAAUGCUUCAAAUUUGCUCAGAGAAGUUUAAACACUUUCCCAUUUUACUAUAUUAACAAAUUUCACUCACUUUAAAACAUUUAAAUGGUAAAGUGCAUUUCAGUCACAGUCAGAACACAGAGCAUCAAUGGAAGGUGAUAUGAAGGAAAUCCAAAUGUCACCUCUUGGCUCGAUCCAGCCAAAGGUUAGAUUCUUGAAUCCCUGCUGUCUCCUAUCAUUAGGUUGCUUAGCAACGGGCUACAGGCUAUAAUUAACUUAGCAAAAUUAAGAUUUCCAUUUUGUUAACACAAAAACACUUAUCUGAAAAGUGUCACAUGUUCACUGAAAGAUUCCAAAGGCAAGCAUUGAAAUAUGAGUGAUGAUUUUUCUUUUUUUUGAAGACUUGGCAUGCUUCGACUGUUGCCAAUGAGUGCAAUGUACAAGUGCAGCUGUUAUAGCAUACUUAAUGAAAAAUCAAAAGAUGGGGCAUGAUGUCACCCUGUGAGCAUCUGUCAAAUGUUAUUCUCAUAUGUUUGCAGCAUACUAAUUUCAGAACUGUCUAACUGUCCCUCAGUCCUUCCAUCUUAUAUAUGAAGCCAAAAAAAAAAAAGCAAAAAGUAAAGAAAUUAAAUCCUGAAGGUCCAUUAAACCUUUUAGUUCUCCCUGCCAUCUCUCCCCAUAUAUCCACCCACAUCUUCAUACAGUCACACACCAGUACAUAGUUGCUUUUAUUGAGUAACUCAUAAAAGGCAGCAAUUUCAAUCAUUGAGCUUUACAAGGCAAAAACAUUAAGAGCAUCAGUGCUAAGACACUAAACUGCUAUUGAACUUGCAUCCUAAUUAUGAUAUACCCAAUAUAUCCACCACUCAUCUCAUCAUAAUUUUCAUCACAAUACCCCACCCAUCAUGGAGACAGACUCCAAGUUACGACUUAAAGCGGAGGCCACCAACACCAGCUCCUGCUGACUUGUUACCAGGCAGCAAGGACAAGGUCACUAGGAUCACUCAGUUAGCAGGUGUGACAAAAGACCCAGCAGGAUUCAGCCCGGCAUCCCCCAACACUGACAGAACAUCAGCCACUACAAGCAGGGGCCCAACUGCUGCCACCAACCUUGGUCUAAUUGAAGCUGUUGAGCACUGCUGUUUAGGUCAGUAUUCAAUAUGUUUAUGUUCAUGUCAGACAAUCUAAAGAUGUCCACAUGUGACAUGCUCAACACGAUCACUGUGGCUGAACAGAAAAUGCUGUUUUUGUCUAAAUUCAGCAACUUUAAACCAAGAUGGCCAGUUGAUCGACUGGCACGAAUCUUUAAAAGAAUGCAUAUUCACAAUAGCUAUUUUCACACAUGAACUCUGAACAAUGUCAGGAGAAUCAGGUAGGGAUAUUGCUCUUACCACACAUGCAGCGCACAACAGGACACUUGUGAAAGUUAUGUGAUUUAUUACAGCAGCAUAAUGAAGUAAGUGUUUGGCAUCUGCUGACUAAACAGCCUCUCAAGCUAGGUGGAUGUUAGGGUGGUGAAGGGUAUAAAACUGCAGAGUGUGAAGCAGGGCAGCAGCAGUGACAUAAAUAGGUCACCAAAUUGGGAGAGUGAAUUCUGUAAUGUCCAAAAAAAAUUAAGAGCUGUAGUGCGUGUUUGAAAAUGCCUUAACUGGAAAGUUUCUCUGCAGCUUUUUUAAAAAUAAAUUCAUUCCACUGAAAUUUGCUCAGCUAUUAUAGAGAUUGUGCCGUGGGACAAUUAUGUCUUGAAGUUAUAUUUACUGUAUCGUUGCAUCAUAUUUUCAGAUUACUAAGUAAAUGUACUUGCUGCUUUGAUUAUGGAGUAAAAUAUUGGCAGAAAAUAUUUGUCACAUUUACAAAGUAAAAUGACAUUAAUGAGCCCUGUCUCACAUUUCAAUUUACUGUUCACUUCUUCAGGAA